ACGCUCGACACCUACGGAGGCAGCAGUGGGGAAUAUUGCACAAUGGGGGAAACCCUGAUGCAGCGAUGCCGCGUGAAGGAAGAAGUAUCUCGGUAUGUAAACUUCUAUCAGCAGGGAAGAAAAUGACGGUACCUGACUAAGAAGCCCCGGCUAACUACGUGCCUGCAGCCGCGGUAAUCUGAGCGGGCUGGCAAGGC
Molecule: ribosomal RNA, 197 nt
Filed under: uncultured bacterium
Lineage: Bacteria
Description: partial 16S ribosomal RNA
Rfam family: Bacterial small subunit ribosomal RNA
Source: RNAcentral